GUAGGUGGCAAGCGUUGUCCGGAAUUAUUGGGCGUAAAGCGCGCGCAGGCGGGGGUUUUUAAGUCUGAUGUGAAAGCCCACGGGCUCAACCGUGGAGGGUCAUUGGAAACUGGAGAACUUGAGUACAGAAGAGGAAAGCGGAAUUCCACGUGUAGCGGUGAAAUGCGUAGAGAUGUGGAGGAACACCAGUGGCGAAGGCGGCUUUCUGGUCUGUAACUGACGCUGAGGCGCGAAAGCGUGGGGAGCAAACAGGAUUAGAUACCCUGGUAGUCCACGCCGUAAACGAUGAGUGCUAAGUGUUAGGGGGUUUCCGCCCCUUAGUGCUGCAGCUAACGCAUUAAGCACUCCGCCUGGGGAGUACGGCCGCAAGGCUG
Molecule: ribosomal RNA, 374 nt
Filed under: uncultured organism
Description: partial 16S ribosomal RNA
Rfam family: Bacterial small subunit ribosomal RNA
Source: RNAcentral